RNAcentral lists this non-coding RNA (46 nucleotides) under Trichobilharzia regenti. Lineage: Eukaryota; Metazoa; Platyhelminthes; Trematoda; Strigeidida; Schistosomatidae. The record is from RNAcentral.
AUCCAGCUGACGAGUCCCAAAUAGGACGGAAAUGCCUAUCUUGAAU